CCACACCUUUAAUGCCAGAAGACCUUGAACUCAGAGAUCUCCCCUUGUCUUAAUCUUCUGAAAUUCACAGCCAUUAUGCCUCAAGAUUUCCAUGCCAAGAUCCAGAUAUAGUCAAGUUGACAACCAGGACUAGCCACUACAAUUCCUCACCCGCCUCCUCUGGUCGCCCUCACAGACACCAGGAAGGACCACUUCAGCAUUUCUCAAGACUUCCACCUUUAAGAUUCCCAAGAGGGAAGAGAGCAGAUGUGAAACAGAGCUGGAAGAUGGAGUUUUUGAAAGCUAUGUUCCAGCUCCCAGAGCUGAAUCCCAGGAGGAUGCUGGGCAGCCUCACUAUGGCCUGAUAGCUAUGAUUCUGGGAGUUAUCCAGAAACUGCCAUGACCAGCAAAUCUCUUUCUAAACCAAGAAAUUUCACUGGCAAAAAUCCUGACAAGA
Long non-coding RNA from Mus musculus (house mouse), 436 nucleotides. RefSeq annotates it as predicted gene, 39835. The record is from RefSeq and is a predicted model, not a curated record. The transcript is spliced from 3 exons. Lineage: Eukaryota; Metazoa; Chordata; Mammalia; Rodentia; Muridae.